GGGGGUGUAGCUCAGCUGGGAGAGCGCUUGCAUGGCAUGCAAGAGGUCGUGAGUUCGAGCCUCAUCAUCUCCA
RNAcentral lists this transfer RNA (73 nucleotides) under Ectobacillus ponti. It matches the Rfam family "tRNA". From Rfam's summary of the family: Transfer RNA (tRNA) molecules are approximately 80 nucleotides in length. Their secondary structure includes four short double-helical elements and three loops (D, anti-codon, and T loops). The record is from Rfam by way of RNAcentral. Lineage: Bacteria; Bacillati; Bacillota; Bacilli; Caryophanales; Bacillaceae.